RNAcentral lists this ribosomal RNA (468 nucleotides) under uncultured bacterium. Its description in RNAcentral is "partial 16S ribosomal RNA". It matches the Rfam family "Bacterial small subunit ribosomal RNA", at positions 28 to 507 of the family's 1533-position model. The record is from RNAcentral.
GACGAACGCUGGCGGCGUGCUUAACACAUGCAAGUCGAACGGAAAGGCCCUGCUUUUGUGGGGUGCUCGAGUGGCGAACGGGUGAGUAACACGUGAGUAACCUGCACUUGACUUUGGGAUAACUUCAGGAAACUGGGGCUAAUACCGGAUAGGAGCUCCUGCUGCAGGGUGGGGGUUGGAAAGUUUAGGCGGUUGGGGAUGGAAUCGCGGCUUAUCAGGUUGUUGGUUGGGUAGUGGCUUACCAAGGCUUUGACGGGUAGCCGGCCUGAGAGGGUGACCGGCCACAUUGGGCCUGAGAUACGGCCCAGACUCCUACGGGAGGCAGCAGUGGGGUAUAUUGCACUAUGGGCGGAAGCCUGAUGCAGCACCGCCGCGUGCGGUAUGACGGCAUUCGGGUUGUAAACCGCUUUCGCCUGUGACGAAGCGUGAGUGACGGUAAUGGGUAAAGAAGCACCGGCUAACUACGUG